This is a long non-coding RNA of Colossoma macropomum (tambaqui), 1893 nucleotides long. RefSeq lists it as uncharacterized. The record is from RefSeq and is a predicted model, not a curated record. The transcript has 3 exons. Lineage: Eukaryota; Metazoa; Chordata; Actinopteri; Characiformes; Serrasalmidae.
AACAGGCAUUUUCAAAUUAUGUCAAAAACUCAAAAACGACAAAAAUGGAGAUAAGAAGUUUUGUUCAGACAGCAGCGAUGUGCUGGUUUUGCUGGUGGUAAACCAUGCUGGACUUUCUAGCGGGGAUGCUAGGCUGCAGAUCUAUAAAAAAGAUAGAGAUUUAGUCGCAAAGCUGUUGUAAAACACUCAAUAUAAGCAUUCCUAUAAUCUGAAUUCUGUAUUAAUGCGCUAACUCACUAAAACCCUGCUAGAAAAUCCAGCACUGGCCAGCACAGCUGAUCACCAACGUGUUUUGGGUGCUGGUGUGCUGGGUGACCAGCUAAACCAGCACCAGGGCAGCUUGACCAGCUAAGACCAUAUAAAUAUGUAUUUAAUUUGUCCAUUUUAUCAGCUCCACUUACCACUCCAGCAGCACUGCUGUGUCUGAUCCACUCGUAUCAGCACAACACACACUAACACACCACUACCACGUCAGUGUUACUGCUUAAGGCUGUAUAUGACAAAAAGAGAAAAAAGUGCGUGAGUAUGCCAGGAUUCAGACUUUCAAAUAGCGAAAAUAGUGAAAAUGCUCAUCGAUGGUAAUAAAACUUGCUGCUUGCACAGGUCUCUGUAUGUGUCAUCUUGAGUGUGUUGUUUCCUCACUUUGCUCUCUUUCGUUUCUCUCUACUGUCUGACCAGCGUGCUCAAUCAGCCAAAACUGGGCUGACAAGAAAAGACAAGAGUCAACGGUGCAGGACACGCCGCACACACCGUGGCUGAAACCACUAAAACUUCAGACACCAAACACGUUCUGAUUGCCUCAGGACGUUUGGAGUAAGUUUAGGGGGGCCAAUCUAUCUUUAUGCAGGAGAGCAAUCAGAGAUGCAAACAGAGCAUGUGAGGAUCAGGAGAUGCUGAUAAAAUCACAGACAGAAUAAACAUCCAAGAAAACCUGGAGCUCAGUGAGAAAAAAAACAAACUCUCUUGUGUUUCAUGACAAAUGGGACGAUAGAUUAAAAAAAUAUAUAUGGUUACCUUAACAGAUAUUAAGAACACUGUUCCUCUUAUAUAAUGUCAAAAGAGGGAUAAGUUUGAAGGACUGAUGUGGAAGAGUUAGUUUGGAGGAUGGAUGUGGAAGGGUCAGUUUGGAGGAUGGAUGUGGAAGGGUUAGUUUGGAGGAUUGAUGUGGAAGGGUUAGUCUGGAUGAAGGGUCAGUUUGGAGGAUGGAUAUGGAAGGGUUAGUUUGGGGGAUUGAUGUGGAAGGUUAGUCUGGAUGAAGGGUCAGUUUGGAGGAUGGAUGUGGAAGGGUCAGUUUGGAGGAUUGAUGUGGAAGGGUCAGUUUGGAGGAUUGAUGUGGAAGGUUAGUCUGGAUGAAGGGUUAGUUUGGAGGAUUGAUGUGGAAGGGUCAGUUUGGAGGAUUGAUGUGGAAGGGUCAGUUUGGAGGAUUGAUGUGGAAGGGUCAGUUUGGAGGAUGGAUAUGGAAGGGUUAGUUUGGGGGAUUGAUGUGGAAGAGUUAGUCUGGAGGAUUGAUGUGGAAGGUUAGUCUGGAUGAAGGGUUAGUUUGGAGGAUUGAUGUGGAAGGUUAGUCUGGAUGAAGGGUUAGUUUAGAGGACUGAUGAUGAAGGGUCAGUUUGGAGGAUUGAUGUGGAAGGGUCAGUUUGGAGGAUUGAUGUGGAAGGGUUAGUUUGGAGGAUGGAUGUGGAAGGUUAGUCUGGAUGAAGGGUUAGUUUAGAGGACUGAUGAUGAAGGGUUAGUUCAGAGGAUUGAUGUGGAAGCACAGGAGCAGCAGAAAUGAGGGAUGGACAGAGAAGUGAAAUAAAAGGAAUGCUAAAGAACAGUUACUCACCACUGUGAUCCAGAUGGCCUUCUGAAGGAAAUGUGAAGGAAAUUAAACCAGGUAAAUUCAAAAGGCCA